RNAcentral lists this ribosomal RNA (407 nucleotides) under Clostridioides difficile. RNAcentral's name for it is "bacterial SSU rRNA". It matches the Rfam family "Bacterial small subunit ribosomal RNA", at positions 1136 to 1533 of the family's 1533-position model. The record is from RNAcentral. Lineage: Bacteria; Bacillati; Bacillota; Clostridia; Peptostreptococcales; Peptostreptococcaceae.
CACUCUAGAGAGACUGCCAGGGAUAACCUGGAGGAAGGUGGGGAUGACGUCAAAUCAUCAUGCCCCUUAUGCUUAGGGCUACACACGUGCUACAAUGGGUAGUACAGAGGGUUGCCAAGCCGUAAGGUGGAGCUAAUCCCUUAAAGCUACUCUCAGUUCGGAUUGUAGGCUGAAACUCGCCUACAUGAAGCUGGAGUUACUAGUAAUCGCAGAUCAGAAUGCUGCGGUGAAUGCGUUCCCGGGUCUUGUACACACCGCCCGUCACACCACGGGAGUUGGAGACGCCCGAAGCCGAUUAUCUAACCUUGUGGAAGAAGUCGUCGAAGGUGGAAUCAAUAACUGGGGUGAAGUCGUAACAAGGUAGCCGUAUCGGAAGGUGCGGCUGGAUCACCUCCUUUCUAAGGAGA